This 497-nucleotide ribosomal RNA is filed under the name uncultured bacterium. Its description in RNAcentral is "partial 16S ribosomal RNA". It matches the Rfam family "Bacterial small subunit ribosomal RNA", at positions 28 to 507 of the family's 1533-position model. The record is from RNAcentral.
GAUGAACGCUGGCGGCGUGCCUAAUACAUGCAAGUCGAGCGAACGGACGAGAAGCUUGCUUCUCUGAUGUUAGCGGCGGACGGGUGAGUAACACGUGGAUAACCUACCUAUAAGACUGGGAUAACUUCGGGAAACCGGAGCUAAUACCGGAUAAUAUUUUGAACCGCAUGGUUCAAAAGUGAAAGACGGUCUUGCUGUCACUUAUAGAUGGAUCCGCGCUGCAUUAGCUAGUUGGUAAGGUAACGGCUUACCAAGGCAACGAUGCAUAGCCGACCUGAGAGGGUGAUCGGCCACCCUGGAACUUGGACACGGUCCAGACUCCUACGGGAGGCAGCAGUAGGGAAUCUUCCGCAAUGGGCGAAAGCCUGACGGAGCAACGCCGCGUGAGUGAUGAAGGUCUUCGGAUCGUAAAACUCUGUUAUUAGGGAAGAACAUAUGUGUAAGUAACUGUGCACAUCUUGACGGUACCUAAUCAGAAAGCCACGGCUAACUACGUG